This 237-nucleotide long non-coding RNA is filed under the name Nicotiana benthamiana. RNAcentral's name for it is "long non-coding RNA (NBEN_LNC002428)". Lineage: Eukaryota; Viridiplantae; Streptophyta; Magnoliopsida; Solanales; Solanaceae. The record is from RNAcentral.
GUGAAAUCAAUUCAACGCCUCACACUCAUCCACCAUUCGUCUUCCAGACCCUUCCAAUCGCAUGUUAAAACUCGAAUUCGAGCGAGUGAGAGGGGAGGGGAAUCUUGCAUCAGAAACCGUUAGCAACGGCAAGAUGAGAGAAGGAGGGACGCAUGGGUUAGAGAUUUGAGAUCACUCGCCAUGGUUUUGGCCUAAAAUGAGACUGGACUCGAGUGAAGAAGGCGAUUGAACAUUUCG